UGGGGAAUUUUGGACAAUGGGCGAAAGCCUGAUCCAGCAAUGCCGCGUGUGUGAAGAAGGCCUUCGGGUUGUAAAGCACUUUUGUCCGGAAAGAAAUCCUUGCUCUAAUACAGUCGGGGGAUGACGGUACCGGAAGAAUAAGCACCGGCUAACUACGUGCCAGCAGCCGCGGUAAUACGUAGGGUGCAAGCGUUAAUCGGAAUUACUGGGCGUAAAGCGUGCGCAGGCGGUUUGCUAAGACCGAUGUGAAAUCCCCGGGCUCAACCUGGGAACUGCAUUGGUGACUGGCAGGCUAGAGUAUGGCAGAGGGGGGUAGAAUUCCACGUGUAGCAGUGAAAUGCGUAGAGAUGUGGAGGAAUACCGAUGGCGAAGGCAGCCCCCUGGGCCAAUACUGACGCUCAUGCACGAAAGCGUGGGGAGCAAACAGGAUUAGAUACCCUGGUAGUCCACGCCCUAAAACGAUGUCAACUAGUUGUUGGGGAUUCAUUUCCUUAGUAACGUAGCUAACGCGUGAAGUUGACCGCCUGGGGAGUACGGUCGCAAGAUUAAAACUCAAAUGAAUUGACGGGGUCAUAGCUGUUUCCU
This 585-nucleotide ribosomal RNA is filed under the name uncultured bacterium. Its description in RNAcentral is "partial 16S ribosomal RNA". It matches the Rfam family "Bacterial small subunit ribosomal RNA", at positions 355 to 1375 of the family's 1533-position model. The record is from RNAcentral.